This is a long non-coding RNA of Arachis stenosperma, 4402 nucleotides long. RefSeq lists it as uncharacterized. NCBI's taxonomy places the organism in Eukaryota, Viridiplantae, Streptophyta, Magnoliopsida, Fabales, Fabaceae. The transcript is spliced from 5 exons. The record is from RefSeq and is a predicted model, not a curated record.
UGCAAUAGCAUCUCCUUUCGCAUAAAUAUUAUGCCCAUCCACAAACAAGAAUUCAUUUCAGAUCAAAACAUGAGCUACUCAUCAACUGAGCCCUGAGCUACCUUCAAUUACCAGAGACAAGCCACCAUUAACUACUUCAUCAAUGUCUACAACCCAACCAUCAUCAACCUAAUAGCAACCACUCAUCCAGAUCCCUUCAUUAUUCGCCGCCACAAAAUCUACGCUUUCAUUCUUUUUGCACUCCUAGCAUUUCUUCAGAUCCAGAACACCGGAAGCACACCAUCACCGUUCCAUGAUCACCCUGUCACAACCCAAGCUUGUUUUCUUGCCAUUUUUUGUUACUUCCUAGCCUUCAUGGCCUCGCUGCGUUUGCCUCAGUAUUCUUCUCAGUUAAGCACAGCCAUGGCGGCUUUCGGUUCGUUCUCCUCGGCUACCUUGGUACAUUCUGAGAUCUGUCUUGAGAAUGAGGAGAUCGUGGCAGCGAAAUUCCCAAAGGCAACAACAACUCUUGCCACUGAGAUACAUGGAUCUGAUGAGUAGAGAGCACCGUAAUAAUAAUGUGUACUUGAUGGAAGCACCAAUGGAAGUUACUGUCGUAGAUUCGUAUGUUGUUCCAUUUUGAGGGUUUUCUUUCAGUUCAUGGGAGUUGCUGUACCAAUGUUAUUCAGUAAUGAGUUAAUGAAGUAUAUAUAACUUUCAGCCUUCAGUCUUCUUCUCUCUCACCUCGAAGCUCGGGAUCAAGGAUUUAUACAUCAUCAUUCAUUCAUCAGUGCUGCAAUUUUCUUUGAUUCGCGGGCGUUGGCCCUUGAAAAGAGAUCUAGGAGGGAAAAGGGGAAGAAGGUGGCAAAAGCAAAAGUCAGAAAAAUGAAUGCAGACGCAAGAACAAGGAAAUAAAUAUGAAGUUAGAUGCGGCAAUAGUCUGCACGCAUAUGCAGGUUAGAUAUGAGGUUAGAUAUGGCGGUAGUCCGCACACAUAUGCAGAUGCAGAAAAGUAAAUAUGAAAACACAAAAAUGAAGAACUGAAGUUUUAUUGAAUGAUUGGAAAAGAAAGAAGAGGGAAGAAGAAGAGUUGGAGAGCUUACAAGGGAACUCUCAAAGCUUCUCUCACUAACUUUUCUCUAUGUGUUUAUAAACUAAAGGGUGUCUUACAAUGAGAACAAGGCCUCCUUUUAUAAUUGAAGAUACUACUGUGUCUACAGUACGUGUGAAGAUGACCGGUACUAUUUCUACAGUACAGGUUGAUAUGAUUUUGAAUUUAGUGAUUACAUAAAUUUUGAGAUUAAAGGCUAAUCUUCUCCGAGGUUAAUUCCAAAGCAGUCAUCUUCAUUUUAAUUAUAACUGCUUGAGGAUUUUGCUGACGAAGUAGGAUUUUCUUUGUGUUUUUCAUCUUCUUCGAUCAUCUGCAUGAUUUGUUGAAGGUGUUUUACCAAGGAUUCUUUUGAUUGAGCUCCUGCAAGGACUGCAGCUAUUUGAGCUUUCUGAUUGAGAAACGAAGCUGUUUUUGGAUCUGAAAUCUUCUGACUGUGUGCAUUAUUUUUGAAUCAUUCUCUGACCUUAUCUGGAUAGGCCAUUGAUGAAUCAAAUUGAGACCACCAUUUUACGUAACCAUGUCUUUGUAGGAUUGGAAGUGAUUUGCAGUGGUCUGAUUUUGCAUAUUGUAUUGCCAGGAAAAUACCCAUGCUAGUGAAACAUUUGAGAAAAAUUUUAACAUUACAGGAAUACAUGAUUCCUGCCUGUUAAAUUUUGAUUGAAAAAGUUUAUACCCUUCAUCUGUUGGUGAAGGUAGAAUUUCAGGGAUUGGCCCAAAGAAGUCCCACCAUUGGUAGAACCAAUUUGAAAAAAUAUAAUUGGUUUUUCUUUUAAAAUAGAUUAACCAUGAAUGUCUGUACUGAGUAUUUUGAAACCAAAAUACUUUAGUCCAGACAUUCUAAUACUCAGUACAAACAUUCAUGGUUAAUCUAUUUUAAAAGAAAAACCAAUUAUAUUUUUUCAAAUUGGUUCUACCAAUGGUGGGACUUCUUUGGGCCAAUCCCUGAAAUUCUACCCUCACCAACAGAUGAAUGGUAUAAACUUUUUCAAUCAAAAUUUAACAGCCAGGAAUCAUGUAUUCCUGUAAUGUUAAAAUUUUUCUCAAAUUUUUCACUAGCAUGGGUAUUUUCCUGGUAAUACAAAUAUGCAAAAUCAGACCACUGCAAAUCACUUCCAAUCCUACAAAGGCAUGGUUACGUAAAAUGGUGGUCUCAAUUUGAUUCAUCAAUGGCCUAUCCAGAUAAGGUCAGAGAAUGGUUCAAAAAUAAUGCACACAGUCAGAAGAUUUCAGAUCCAGAAAUGGCUUCGUUUCUCAAUCAGAAAGCUCAAAUAGUUGCAGCCCUUGCAGGAGCUCAAUCAAAAGAAUCCUUGGCAAAACACCUUCAGCAAAUCAUACAGAUGAUCGAAAAAGAUGAAAAAUACAAAGAAAAUCCUACUUCGUCAGUAGAAUCCUCAAGCGGUUAUAAUCAAAAUGAAGAUGACUGCUUUGAAAUUGACCUCAGAGAGGAUUAGCCUUUAAUCUCAAAAUUUAUGUAAUCACUAAAUUCAAAAUCAUAUCAACCUGUACUGUAGAAAUAGUACCGGUCAUCUUCACCUGUACUGUAGACACAGUAGUAUCUUCAAUUAUAAAAGGAGGCCUUGUUCUCAUUGUAAGGCACCCUUUAGUCUAGAAACACAUAGAGAGAAGUUAGUGAGAGAAGCUCUGAGAGUUCCCUUGUAAGCUUUCCAGCUCUUUUUCUUCUCUCUUCUUUCUUUUCCAAUCAUUCAAUAAAACUUCAGUUCUUCAUUUUUGUGUUUUCAUAUUUACUUUUCUGCAUCUGCAUAUGUGUGCGGACUACCGCCACAUCUAACCUCAUACCUAACCUGCAUAUGCGUAUGGACUACCGCCACAUCUAACUUCAUAUUUAUUUCAUUGUUCUUGCAUUUGCAUUCAUUUUUCUGACUUUUGCUUUUGCCACCUUCUUCUCCUUUUCCCUCCUAGAUCCCUUUUCAAGGGUCAACUGGUAUAUAUAUAUAUAUAUAAAAGAUAAAAUAAAAGCAAUUGAAGAAAAAAUUAAGAAAGAAUUAUGUAGUCUAAACCCCACAGAUUUUCAGCAUAGAAAAUUACAUGAAAUAUCUUUACCAUAUGAAGAUGGGUUUAAUGAAAAAAAUAUACCAACAAAGGCAAAAUCGAUACAUAUGAACAAAGAGUAUCUAGAAUAUUGUAAAAAAGAAAUACAAGAAUAUCUGGAUAAGGGACUAAUAAGGCCUUCAAAAUCACCCUGGAGUUGUACAUGGUUCUAUGUGAUGAAAGCAUCUGAAAUAGAAAGAGGUGCUCCAAGAUUAGUUAUUAAUUAUAAACCUCUAAACAAGGUAUUAAAAUGGAUUAUGCGUCCCCUACCAAAUAAAAGUGAUUUAAUUAAAAGAUUAAAUAAAGCAAAUAUCUUUUCAAAAUUUAAUUUAAAAUCAGGAUAUUAUCAAAUCGCAGUAAAAGAAGAAGAAAGAUAUAAAACAGCUUUUAUAAUACCUUUUGGACAUUAUGAAUGGAAUGUAAUACCUCAAGGAUUAAAAAAUGCUCCAAGGAAUUCCAAAAAAUAAUGAAUAAUAUAUUUUACCCGCAUAUAGAAUUUACUAUAGUAUAUCUUUUUGACGUAUUAGUAUACUCAAAAAGAAUAAAGCAGCAUAUAUAUUAUCUAGAAAAAUUUAUGGAUAUUAUAAAAGAACAAGGAUUAGUUUUAUCAGAAAAGAAAAUGAAAAUUUUUACAAUUAAAGUAAGGUUUUUAGGAUAUGAAAUUUUUCAAGGAACUAUAGUACCUAUUAAAAGAGCUAUUGAAUUUUCAGAUACAUUUCCAAAUGAAAUAACUGACAAAAAACAACUACAAAGGUUUUUGGGAUGUUUAAAUUAUGUAGCACAAUUCUUACCUGGAAUCAGAGUUACAUGCGAACCUCUUUAUAAGAGAUUAAGAAAAAAUCCACCUCCAUGGACAAAAGAAAUGACUUCUAUAAUAAUAAAGAUAAAAAAUGCAAUAAAAGAAAUACCUUGUAUAAGUAUACUAGACUCAUCGGCUAAAUUAAUUAUAGAAACAGAUGCAUCAAAAUUAGGAUAUGGAGGAAUUCUUAAACAAAUACCUCCUAAUAGCUCAAAAGAACAAAUAGUAAAAUAUCAUUCAGGAAUUUGGAACCAGGCUCAAAAGAAUUACUCAACAGUCAAAAAAGAAAUACUUGCCAUAGUAUUAUGUGUUUCAAAAUUUAAAGAAGAUUUAUUUAAUAAAACCUUCUUAAUAAGAACUGAUUAUUUGGUUUCAAAACAAAUAUUUGCAAGAUGUCAAGCUAUUUUAUCAUGUUUCGAUUUUACUAUUAAAUAUAUAAAAGGAGAACUAAAUUCACUCUUCGA